Molecule: ribosomal RNA, 336 nt
Filed under: uncultured Pseudomonas sp.
Lineage: Bacteria; Pseudomonadati; Pseudomonadota; Gammaproteobacteria; Pseudomonadales; Pseudomonadaceae
Description: bacterial SSU rRNA
Rfam family: Bacterial small subunit ribosomal RNA
Source: RNAcentral
AUGGCUGUCGGUCAGCUCGUGUCGUGAGAUGUUGGGUUAAGUCCCGUAACGAGCGCAACCCUUGUCCUUAGUUACCAGCACGUUAUGUGGGCACCCUAAGGAGACUGCCGGUGACAACCGGAGGAAGUGGGGAUGACGUCAAGUCAUCAUGGCCCUUACGGCCUGGGCUACACACGUGCUACAAUGGUCGGUACAAAGGGUUGCCAAGCCGCGAGGUGGAGCUAAUCCCAUAAAACCGAUCGUAGUCCGGAUCGCAGUCUGCAACUCGACUGCGUGAAGUCGGAAUCGCUAGUAAUCGUGAAUCAGAAUGUCACGGUGAAUACGUUCCCGGGCCUU